This 968-nucleotide ribosomal RNA is filed under the name Vibrio cholerae. Its description in RNAcentral is "partial 23S ribosomal RNA". It matches the Rfam family "Bacterial large subunit ribosomal RNA", at positions 1213 to 2165 of the family's 2925-position model. The record is from RNAcentral. Lineage: Bacteria; Pseudomonadati; Pseudomonadota; Gammaproteobacteria; Vibrionales; Vibrionaceae.
UCUUUUAGACAUUGGGUAGGGGAGCGUUCUGUAAGCCGUUGAAGGUGAAUCGUAAGGUUUGCUGGAGGUAUCAGAAGUGCGAAUGCUGACAUGAGUAACGACAAAGGGGGUGAAAAACCUCCUCGCCGGAAGACCAAGGGUUCCUGUCCAACGUUAAUCGGGGCAGGGUGAGUCGACCCCUAAGGUGAGGCCGAAAGGCGUAAUCGAUGGGAAACGGGUUAAUAUUCCCGUACUUCUGACUAUUGCGAUGGGGGGACGGAGAAGGCUAGGUGGGCCAGGCGACGGUUGUCCUGGUUCAAGUGCGUAGGCUUGAGAGUUAGGUAAAUCCGGCUCUCUCUAAGGCUGAGACACGACGUCGAGCUACUACGGUAGUGAAGUCAUUGAUGCCAUGCUUCCAGGAAAAGCCUCUAAGCUUCAGAUAGUCAGGAAUCGUACCCCAAACCGACACAGGUGGUCGGGUAGAGAAUACCAAGGCGCUUGAGAGAACUCGGGUGAAGGAACUAGGCAAAAUGGUACCGUAACUUCGGGAGAAGGUACGCUCUUGAUGGUGAAGUCCCUCGCGGAUGGAGCUGACGAGAGUCGCAGAUACCAGGUGGCUGCAACUGUUUAUUAAAAACACAGCACUGUGCAAAAUCGCAAGAUGACGUAUACGGUGUGACGCCUGCCCGGUGCCGGAAGGUUAAUUGAUGGGGUUAGCGCAAGCGAAGCUCUUGAUCGAAGCCCCGGUAAACGGCGGCCGUAACUAUAACGGUCCUAAGGUAGCGAAAUUCCUUGUCGGGUAAGUUCCGACCUGCACGAAUGGCGUAAUGAUGGCCACGCUGUCUCCACCCGAGACUCAGUGAAAUUGAAAUCGCUGUGAAGAUGCAGUGUACCCGCGGCUAGACGGAAAGACCCCGUGAACCUUUACUACAGCUUGGCACUGAACAUUGAACCUACAUGUGUAGGAUAGGUGGGAGGCUAUGAAGACG